UGCACAGCCGGAGGUGGGUCGAAUCUGUUUCAAAGAAAUAACGUUGAGCGUAGGCCUCGGUAUCUUACUCGGCGAAUUCCCUUCCCAAAUUGGCGAUCGAUUCGUGAUUUUGCUACGCACUGUAUUAACUUCGCAACUUGGACCAUCGGAAGCUUGGCAGAACUAGCCCCGCUGGCAGUCUGAGAUUAUCCGCUCAUGUCAUCUCAACAGAUAAGUUAGAAUUGAUUUUGUGUAAUUUCAAUUCAGUUAAUUCUCCAAAAUAUCCGACAGAUUGCCCAAUAGAUUAGUCAUACAGAAUGUUGAGUGUGUUGAAUCUCAGGUAGAGGCCAUGGAGGCAAAACUGAAUGAUAAAGAAUACAUUGAUCAUCUUGUGUUCAAUUACACAAUAGAUAGAAGGAGCCAGGGAGAUAUUGAUCAGAAGGAUAUAAUGGAAGGCCUUGAACCUCAUUACAAUCUAAAGAGCCUUACAAUUCUGCACUAUGGAGGUGGGAAGAUCUUCCACCAUUGGAUCAUCUCCCAUUUCUGAUGGACAUAUCUACUUGGAAGCUUCCAGUAAGAAGAAUUGGUGCCAAAUUUUAUGGGGAUGCUGAUCAGGUCUUUCCUUCACUGCAAGAACUAACAUUUCAUACCUUGAAUGAAUGGGAGGAGUUGUCUGAAUCAGAUAGUAGGCCAAUUUUUCCUUGCCUUACGAAAAUGAGAAUAGAAAAUUGUCUUAAGCUAAGAAGAAUCCCUGUUCUCCCUUUGAUAUCAAUGAAACAACUUGAUAUUUGGAAUUCUGGUGAUAUUGGCAAUGUACUACCUGACUAUUUGCUAACUUUAACCUCUCUAACAUAUUUGGAGUUGAAUAGUUUUAAUUGAACCUGCACAGAUGCCAGUGCAACCAUAUGCUGAACAGGAAUUCAGAUCUCUGCGCACCGUUUCCAUCGAUGAUCAUGUUCUGAAAUAUGUUUGGGCAAUACUAGGAAGGGCCCCUUGUAUUCAGGUGCUCAGAAUCCAAGGUUGUAAUGAUCUUUCUCAGCUCAACCCUGAGCAAGAGGAGUGGCUUCAGCAACUGACUACCCUAAAUCUCCUCGAGUUCCAGAAUUGUCCUAAACUACAAAAACUUCCUUCUUCCUUAGGAGCUGCCUCCUCCAUCAAGAAUUUGAAGAUUGUCGGUUUCCCAAAUAUCGAGUCACUACCAGAUUGAUGGGUUAGAUUGGCCACUGAUUUCAAAUAUCCCCGGCAUCCGUAUUGAUGGUGAAAUAACAUCAAUAACUGAAGUUGCUUUAGAAUGGAUUCAAAUAGGGAGCAAAAUUCAAAGCACAAAGGAAGGCCUCAGUAAAAUUGGAAGUUUGCUGAAGGUAAAACUACACAGAUCAGAACCAAUCAAUCCGUGUUGAGUUUAUCUCAGAGGUGCAUUAUUUUUUGUGAUAUGACUGAAACUUCUAAGAUAUGACUGAAAGUGAACGUCGCAGAUGUUGAUUUAUUAUAUUCAAUUUGCUUGGAGAAUAUCUCACUUGUUGAUUCAUUCAAACUCAAUUU
Long non-coding RNA from Zingiber officinale, 1521 nucleotides. RefSeq lists it as uncharacterized. The transcript is spliced from 3 exons. The record is from RefSeq and is a predicted model, not a curated record. NCBI's taxonomy places the organism in Eukaryota, Viridiplantae, Streptophyta, Magnoliopsida, Zingiberales, Zingiberaceae.